This 530-nucleotide ribosomal RNA is filed under the name Bifidobacterium breve. RNAcentral's name for it is "bacterial SSU rRNA". It matches the Rfam family "Bacterial small subunit ribosomal RNA", at positions 157 to 697 of the family's 1533-position model. Lineage: Bacteria; Bacillati; Actinomycetota; Actinomycetes; Bifidobacteriales; Bifidobacteriaceae. The record is from RNAcentral.
CGGGUGGUAAUGCCGGAUGCUCCAGUUGAUCGCAUGGUCUUCUGGGAAAGCCUUUGCGGCAUGGGAUGGGGUCGCGUCCUAUCAGCUUGAUGGCGGGGUAACGGCCCACCAUGGCUUCGACGGGUAGCCGGCCUGAGAGGGCGACCGGCCACAUUGGGACUGAGAUACGGCCCAGACUCCUACGGGAGGCAGCAGUGGGGAAUAUUGCACAAUGGGCGCAAGCCUGAUGCAGCGACGCCGCGUGAGGGAUGGAGGCCUUCGGGUUGUAAACCUCUUUUGUUAGGGAGCAAGGCAUUUUGUGUUGAGUGUACCUUUCGAAUAAGCACCGGCUAACUACGUGCCAGCAGCCGCGGUAAUACGUAGGGUGCAAGCGUUAUCCGGAAUUAUUGGGCGUAAAGGGCUCGUAGGCGGUUCGUCGCGUCCGGUGUGAAAGUCCAUCGCUUAACGGUGGAUCCGCGCCGGGUACGGGCGGGCUUGAGUGCGGUAGGGGAGACUGGAAUUCCCGGUGUAACGGUGGAAUGUGUAGAUAU